AUGAACGCUGGCGGCGUGCCUAAUACAUGCAAGUCGAGCGAACGGACGAGAAGCUUGCUUCUCUGAUGUUAGCGGCGGACGGGUGAGUAACACGUGGAUAACCUACCUAUAAGACUGGGAUAACUUCGGGAAACCGGAGCUAAUACCGGAUAAUAUUUUGAACCGCAUGGUUCAAAAGUGAAAGACGGUCUUGCUGUCACUUAUAGAUGGAUCCGCGCUGCAUUAGCUAGUUGGUAAGGUAACGGCUUACCAAGGCAACGAUGCAUAGCCGACCUGAGAGGGUGAUCGGCCACACUGGAACUGAGACACGGUCCAGACUCCUACGGGAGGCAGCAGUAGGGAAUCUUCCGCAAUGGGCGAAAGCCUGACGGAGCAACGCCGCGUGAGUGAUGAAGGUCUUCGG
Molecule: ribosomal RNA, 403 nt
Filed under: Staphylococcus aureus
Lineage: Bacteria; Bacillati; Bacillota; Bacilli; Caryophanales; Staphylococcaceae
Description: bacterial SSU rRNA
Rfam family: Bacterial small subunit ribosomal RNA
Source: RNAcentral